Trichomycterus rosablanca is the source of this 300-nucleotide long non-coding RNA. RefSeq lists it as uncharacterized. The transcript is spliced from 2 exons. Lineage: Eukaryota; Metazoa; Chordata; Actinopteri; Siluriformes; Trichomycteridae. The record is from RefSeq and is a predicted model, not a curated record.
AGUACAAACACACCAGCUGCUGCAGCUUCUUCUUCUUCUUCUGUUUGAAUUGAGGUGGUUGAUCUACAACGUUCAGAUUUAUUAGCGCCCCUACUGGACUGCAGUGGCAGAUCAUAACAGAAAGGAGAAACAGGAUCAACCCCUCAAAGAUGAAGUCCUUGUUUUUUCUGAAUGACAAUCUUCACUAAAUACUUACAAAUACUGUCACCUGGAUGCUGCUUUUUUAUUUUGCACAUUUUCAUUUAUAUUUUGUUGAGUGAUGCUUUGUUGAUGUUAUAUAUAAUAAACACAAUCAGACCU